UACGAAGGGGGGCUAGCGUUGCUCGGAAUCACUGGGCGUAAAGCGCACGUAGGCGGAUUUGUAAGUCAGGGGUGAAAUCCCGGGGCUCAACCUCGGAACUGCCUUUGAUACUGCAAAUCUCGAGUCCGGAAGAGGUGAGUGGAAUUCCUAGUGUAGAGGUGAAAUUCGUAGAUAUUAGGAAGAACACCAGUGGCGAAGGCGGCUCACUGGUCCGGUACUGACGCUGAGGUGCGAAAGCGUGGGGAGCAAACAGG
RNAcentral lists this ribosomal RNA (254 nucleotides) under uncultured bacterium. Its description in RNAcentral is "partial 16S ribosomal RNA". It matches the Rfam family "Bacterial small subunit ribosomal RNA", at positions 524 to 776 of the family's 1533-position model. The record is from RNAcentral.